RNAcentral lists this unclassified non-coding RNA (355 nucleotides) under uncultured delta proteobacterium. Its description in RNAcentral is "partial contains 16S ribosomal RNA, 16S-23S ribosomal RNA intergenic spacer, and 23S ribosomal RNA". The stretch from base 1 to 191 matches the Rfam family "Bacterial small subunit ribosomal RNA", at positions 1345 to 1533 of the family's 1533-position model. Lineage: Bacteria; Deltaproteobacteria. The record is from RNAcentral.
UAUUCCAGCAGCCGCGGUAAUACGUUCCCGGGCCUUGCCCACACCGCCCGUCACACCAUGGAAGCCAGCUGUACCGGAAGUCGGUGCGCUAACCCCGCAAGGGGAGGUAGCCGCCUAUGGUAUGACUGGUGACUGGGGUGAAGUCGUAACAAGGUAGCCGUAGGGGAACCUGCGGCUGGAUCACCUCCUUUCUAAGGAUUGUUUCCCGCAGCAAUGUUGGGAACAUACCUAGGUCAAUCAGAUCUGAGACCUUUCCAACUCUCAAAUCUGAAUUCAUCACCGUCUCGAUAGCGCAGACGAUCGGCCCUAUGCCCGCUACUAUUUAGUUUUUAAAGACCAAGGUGGCUGCCUUUUU